This 482-nucleotide ribosomal RNA is filed under the name uncultured bacterium. RNAcentral describes it as "partial 16S ribosomal RNA". It matches the Rfam family "Bacterial small subunit ribosomal RNA", at positions 30 to 507 of the family's 1533-position model. The record is from RNAcentral.
AUUGAACGCUGGCGGCAUGAUUUACACAUGCAAGUCGAACGGUAACAGGCCGCCAGGUGCUGACGAGUGGCGCACGGGUGAGUAAUGCAUCGGAACGUGCCCAGUCGUGGGGGAUAACUACUCGAAAGAGUAGCUAAUACCGCAUACGAUCUAUGGAUGAAAGCGGGGGACCGUAAGGCCUCGCGCGAUUGGAGCGGCCGAUGUCAGAUUAGGUAGUUGGUGGGGUAAAGGCUCACCAAGCCAACGAUCUGUAGCUGGUCUGAGAGGACGACCAGCCACACUGGGACUGAGACACGGCCCAGACUCCUACGGGAGGCAGCAGUGGGGAAUUUUGGACAAUGGGCGCAAGCCUGAUCCAGCAAUGCCGCGUGCAGGAAGAAGGCCUUCGGGUUGUAAACUGCUUUUGUACGGAACGAAACGGCUCUGGUUAAUACCCGGGGCUAAUGACGGUACCGUAAGAAUAAGCACCGGCUAACUACGUG